RNAcentral lists this ribosomal RNA (1480 nucleotides) under Loigolactobacillus backii. RNAcentral describes it as "Lactobacillus backii 16S ribosomal RNA". It matches the Rfam family "Bacterial small subunit ribosomal RNA". Lineage: Bacteria; Bacillati; Bacillota; Bacilli; Lactobacillales; Lactobacillaceae. The record is from RNAcentral.
GAACGCUGGCCGGCGUGCCUAAUACAUGCAAGUCGAACGCACAGAUAUCAACAGAAGCUGCUUGCAGUGGAAGUUAAUUGAUGUGAGUGGCGGACGGGUGAGUAACACGUGGGUAACCUACCCAAAAGUGGGGGAUAACAUUUGGAAACAGAUGCUAAUACCGCAUAAUUUAAGUGACCACAUGGUCACUUAAUGAAAGAUGGUUUCGGCUAUCACUUUUGGAUGGACCCGCGGCGUAUUAGCUAGUUGGUGGGAUAACGGCCUACCAAGGCGAUGAUACGUAGCCGACCUGAGAGGGUAAUCGGCCACAUUGGGACUGAGACACGGCCCAAACUCUACGGGAGGCAGCAGUAGGGAAUCUUCCACAAUGGACGAAAGUCUGAUGGAGCAACGCCGCGUGAGUGAAGAAGGUUUUCGGAUCGUAAAACUCUGUUGUUGGAGAAGAACAGGGACUAGAGUAACUGUUAGUCCUAUGACGGUAUCCAACCAGAAAGCCACGGCUAACUACGUGCCAGCAGCCGCGGUAAUACGUAGGUGGCAAGCGUUGUCCGGAUUUAUUGGGCGUAAAGCGAGCGCAGGCGGUUUUUUAAGUCUGAUGUGAACUUCGGCUUAACCGAAGAAGUGCAUUAGAAACUGGGAAACUUGAGUGCAGAAGAGGAGAGUGGAACUCCAUGUGUAGCGGUGAAAUGCGUAGAUAUAUGGAAGAACACCAGUGGCGAAGGCGGCUCUCUGGUCUGUAACUGACGCUGAGGCUCGAAAGUAUGGGGAGCGAACAGGAUUAGAUACCCUGGUAGUCCAUACCGUAAACGAUGAAUGCUAAGUGUUGGAGGGUUUCCGCCCUUCAGUGCUGCAGCUAACGCAUUAAGCAUUCCGCCUGGGGAGUACGACCGCAAGGUUGAAACUCAAAGGAAUUGACGGGGGCCCGCACAAGCGGUGGAGCAUGUGGUUUAAUUCGAACUACGCGAAGAACCUUACCAGGUCUUGACAUCCUUUGACCACUGUAGAGAUACAGCUUUCUUCGGGGACAAAGUGACAGGUGGUGCAUGGUUGUCGUCAGCUCGUGUCGUGAGAUGUUGGGUUAAGUCCCGCAACGAGCGCAACCCUUAUGACUAGUUGCCAGCAUUAAGUUGGGCACUCUAGUGAGACUGCCGGUGACAAACCGGAGGAAGGUGGGGAUGACGUCAAAUCAGCAUGCCCCUUAUGACCUGGGCUACACACGUGCUACAAUGGUUGGUACAACGAGUUGCGAACCCGCGAGGGUAAGCUAAUCUCUUAAAGCCAAUCUCAGUUCGGAUUGUAGGCUGCAACUCGCCUACAUGAAGUCGGAAUCGCUAGUAAUCGCGGAUCAGCACGCCGCGGUGAAUACGUUCCCGGGCCUUGUACACACCGCCCGUCACACCAUGAGAGUUUGUAACACCCGAAGCCGGUGGGGUAACCUCUAUGAGGAGCUAACCGUCUAAGGUGGGACAGAUGAUUGGGG